Non-coding RNA from Lactuca sativa (garden lettuce), 182 nucleotides. Lineage: Eukaryota; Viridiplantae; Streptophyta; Magnoliopsida; Asterales; Asteraceae. The record is from RefSeq and is a predicted model, not a curated record.
UGAAUGCGAAUAUGAAUUCAAUUGUAUAUAUACAGUCAAUUUGUCGUGGGUGGUUGGCUAGAAGAUAUUUCAGCCAUGUCUGCAGCUGGAAGAUGUCUACAAAGGGUAUGUUGCAAGAUAAUCUUCCGAUUAUGCCCUCGGAUGUUAUAGAGCUGCUGAAGCUGAUCAUCAAAGGAGACAUG